UCCCAGUCGCGAUUGAAGCAUUUGUUUGAGUUCAUUUUCUUGGUUUUGGUGCGGGGUGGGCCUUCGGCCCACCCCGCACCAAAACCAAGAAAAUAGCGAGUGCGGAAAGCGUGAAAUAGU
RNAcentral lists this unclassified non-coding RNA (120 nucleotides) under Chryseobacterium sp. RU37D. RNAcentral describes it as "Flavo-1 RNA". Lineage: Bacteria; Pseudomonadati; Bacteroidota; Flavobacteriia; Flavobacteriales; Weeksellaceae. The record is from RNAcentral.